GAGGGGUGGAAGACAAGUGGAAUAGCAGGAAGAUUGGAGGUGUGGUGGAAGGGUGGAAUAGCAGCAGGAGGAACAGUGGAAGGGAGGUGGAAUAGCAGCAGGAGGAACAGUGGAAUGGAGGUGGAAUAGCAGCAGGAGGAACAGUGGAAGGGAGGUGGAAUAGCAGCAGGAGGAACAACAGUAGAAGGGAGGUGGAAUAGCAGCAGGAGGAACAGUGGAAGGGAGGUGGAAUAGCAGCAGGAGGAACAGUGGAAGGGAGGUGGAAUAGCAGCAGGAGGAACAACAGUGGAAGGGAGGUGCGAGCUGAGUUUGAAAUUAACAAUUAGAAAAAGUCAUGAAGGAAUGGUCAUAAUCACUCCCACUAAUAAUCAG
Oncorhynchus tshawytscha (Chinook salmon) is the source of this 372-nucleotide long non-coding RNA. NCBI's taxonomy places the organism in Eukaryota, Metazoa, Chordata, Actinopteri, Salmoniformes, Salmonidae. The record is from Ensembl.